ACAGAGGGUGCAAGCGUUGUUCGGAAUUAUUGGGCGUAAAGGGCGCGUAGGCGGUGCGGUAAGUCUGUAGUGAAAUCUCUGGGCUCAACUCAGAGUCUGCUAUAGAAACUGCCGUGCUCGAGUGUGGGAGAGGUGAGUGGAAUUCCCGGUGUAGCGGUGAAAUGCGUAGAGAUCGGGAGGAACAUCAGUGGCGAAGGCGGCCAUCUGGGACAACACUGACGCUGAAGCACGAAAGCGUGGGGAGCAAACAGGA
This 253-nucleotide ribosomal RNA is filed under the name uncultured prokaryote. Its description in RNAcentral is "partial 16S ribosomal RNA". It matches the Rfam family "Bacterial small subunit ribosomal RNA", at positions 525 to 777 of the family's 1533-position model. The record is from RNAcentral.